Long non-coding RNA from Silurus meridionalis, 448 nucleotides. RefSeq lists it as uncharacterized. The transcript is spliced from 4 exons. NCBI's taxonomy places the organism in Eukaryota, Metazoa, Chordata, Actinopteri, Siluriformes, Siluridae. The record is from RefSeq and is a predicted model, not a curated record.
UCCGGAGGCGGCUCUUGAACGUCAGCCAGGGUGUUUGGACUGUCGCUGAGUCUGGGUCAACAGGCCGCUCGUCUUCGGCGAUGAAAAAGAUCAUCGCAUUCGAGCUGCUGGCAUUAAUAUGACUGCCGUUCAUCUGUCUAAUGUGAAGUCGCUCCUCUUUGCCAAAUGAGCAAGCUCAUCUCAGCAUUUCCUGUUUCCUGCCCUCUCCUCUCCAAAUGCAAGGACAUGCACAGUUUAAAGUCACUGGAGCACUACAGCGAAAUUGUGUCCAAUCUUCACCACAUUUGGCUGAUAUCAUCUGGAUAUCCUGGUGACCAUUUGAGAAGAUUAAACCAUUCUCUUUGCUUUAAGAGACAAACCCUAAUUUCCUGUCCAGAUUUGAGUCAUGUAAGAAAGCAUGUAGAUGAAGAGUCAGUGGAAUAACGUUUCUGAGGAUGGUCUGAUCAGG